Molecule: ribosomal RNA, 820 nt
Filed under: uncultured bacterium
Lineage: Bacteria
Description: bacterial SSU rRNA
Rfam family: Bacterial small subunit ribosomal RNA
Source: RNAcentral
UCCCUUCGGGGGAUAGUAGAGUGGUGCACGGGUGAGUAACACGUAGGUAAUCUACCUUCGGGUGGGGAAUAACCCAGGAAACUUGGGCUAACACCGCAUAAUGCAGCGGCACCACAUGGUGACAGUUGUUAAAGCGGGGGAUCUUAGGACCUCGCGCCUGAAGAGGAGCCUGCGGCGGAUUAGCUAGUUGGUGAGGUAACGGCUCACCAAGGUAACGAUCCGUAGCCGGCCUGAGAGGGCGGUCGGCCACACUGACACUGACAUACGGGUCAGACUCCUACGGGAGGCAGCAGUCGGGAAUUUUGGGCAAUUGGGCGAAAGCCUGACCCAGCAACGCCGCGUGAAGGAUGAAAUCCCUCGGGAUGUAAACUUCGCAAGAAUGGGAAGAAUUAGUAGGGGUUAAUACCCCCUAUGAUGACGGUACCAUUUGUAAGCUCCGGCUAACUCCGUGCCAGCAGCCGCGGUAAUACGGGGGGAGCAAGCGUUGUUCGGAUUUACUGGGCGUAAAGGGCGCGUAGGCGGUCAGCACAAGUCAGUUGUGAAAUCUCCGAGCUUAACUCGGAACGGUCAACUGAUACUGUGCGACUAGAGUGCGGAAGGGACAACUGGAAUUCUCGGUGUAGCGGUGAAAUGCGUAGAUAUCGAGAGGAACACCUGCGGCGAAGGCGGGUUGCUGGGGCCGACACUGACGGCUGAUGCGCGAAAGCCAGGGGGAGCGAACGGGAUUAGAUACCCCGGUAGUCCUGGCCUUAAACGAUGGAUGCUUGGGUCUGGGGUUUAUAGUCCCCGGGGUGGCGAGUUAACGCGUUAAAGCAUCCCG